RNAcentral lists this ribosomal RNA (253 nucleotides) under uncultured bacterium. RNAcentral describes it as "partial 16S ribosomal RNA". It matches the Rfam family "Bacterial small subunit ribosomal RNA", at positions 524 to 776 of the family's 1533-position model. The record is from RNAcentral.
UACGUAGGGCGCGAGCGUUGUCCGGAAUCAUUGGGCGUAAAGAGCUCGUAGGCGGUUUGUCGCGUCUGCUGUGAAAGCCUGGGGCUCAACUCCGGGAUUGCAGUGGGUACGGGCAGACUAGAGUGCGGUAGGGGAGACUGGAAUUCCUGGUGUAGCGGUGGAAUGCGCAGAUAUCAGGAAGAACACCGAUGGCGAAGGCAGGUCUCUGGGCCGUUACUGACGCUGAGGAGCGAAAGCAUGGGGAGCGAACAGG